RNAcentral lists this long non-coding RNA (292 nucleotides) under Lactuca sativa (garden lettuce). Its description in RNAcentral is "long non-coding RNA (LSAT_LNC006109)". Lineage: Eukaryota; Viridiplantae; Streptophyta; Magnoliopsida; Asterales; Asteraceae. The record is from RNAcentral.
ACCCGCGUAUCCUUCACCGGAACAUAAGCUCAAAAUGUAUAUUGUUAGACGGUGAAUUCGAGGCAAGAAUUUCCGAUUUUGGGUUGGCCAGACUGAUGAACCCGGUGGAUACCCACCUGAGUACUUUUGUGAAUGGAGAGUUCGGGGAUAUCGGGUACGUAGCACCCGAAUACGCCCGAACUCUCGUGGCCACCCCGAAGGGUGAUGUGUACAGCUUCGGGGUGGUGCUUCUUGAGUUGGUAACGGGUGAAAGACCGACGCAUGUGUCUAAAGCUCCGGAAAGCUUUAAAGG